AUCCUGGCUUAGGAUGAACGCUAGCGGCAGGCUUAACACAUGCAAGUCGAGGGGCAUCGGGAGUAGCAAUACUUGCCGGCGACCGGCGCAAGGGUGCGUAACGCGUGAGCAACAUGCCCGUAUCAGGGGGAUAAUCCAUGGAAACGUGGUCUAAUACCCCAUAGUAAUUAUGUAAGGCAUCUUAUAUAAUUUAAAGCUUUGGUGGAUACGGAUUGGCUCGCGUGACAUUAGCUAGAUGGUAAGGUAACGGCUUACCAUGGCUACGAUGUCUAGGGGUUCUGAGAGGAAGGCCCCCCACACUGGAACUGAGACACGGUCCAGACUCCUACGGGAGGCAGCAGUGAGGAAUAUUGGACAAUGGAUGGAAAUCUGAUCCAGCCAUGCCGCGUGCAGGAAAGACGGCCCUAUGGGUUGUAAACUGCUUUUGUAUGGGAGCAAUAAGGGCUACGCGUAGUCCGAUGAGAGUACCAUACGAAUAAGCACCGGCUAACUCCGUGCCAGCAGCCGC
This 508-nucleotide ribosomal RNA is filed under the name uncultured bacterium. RNAcentral's name for it is "bacterial SSU rRNA". It matches the Rfam family "Bacterial small subunit ribosomal RNA", at positions 16 to 518 of the family's 1533-position model. The record is from RNAcentral.